GCAGUGGUGGUUCAGUGGCAGAAUACUCGCCUUCCAUUUGGGAGACCCGGGUUUGAUUCCUGGCCAAGGCA
This 71-nucleotide transfer RNA is filed under the name Loxodonta africana (African savanna elephant). It matches the Rfam family "tRNA". From Rfam's summary of the family: Transfer RNA (tRNA) molecules are approximately 80 nucleotides in length. The record is from Rfam by way of RNAcentral. Lineage: Eukaryota; Metazoa; Chordata; Mammalia; Proboscidea; Elephantidae.